UUAACCAGGAAGAGUUUCCACAUCCAAUCUACUUCAUGUGUCCUAUGUGAUGAUGAACCCAAUGAGCACUUAAUGCAUCUAUUUUUCAGCUAUGAUUUCAGUCAAAAUUUCUGGAUGAACAUUGGUUUCCAAUGGAAUAUAGAUUAUGAUUUACUUGAAAUGAUGUUGGAGGGCAGAAAGAACAGUAAUAUUAUGUGUUUCAAAGAAUGCUUGAUUACAGGUUGUUGGAGCUUAUGGAAGCACAUGAAUGAUAUCAUAUUUGAUGACAAAGAAAAGAGUAUGUCAUAUUGCAUAAGUUCUUUCAAAGAGCACUUUGGCAUGAUCGUCAAGAAAGCAAAACCUAGUUUGAAGGAAGGAAUGCAGAGCUGGCUAGACUACUUGUAG
RNAcentral lists this ribosomal RNA (384 nucleotides) under Triticum aestivum (bread wheat). RNAcentral's name for it is "partial small subunit ribosomal RNA". The record is from RNAcentral. Lineage: Eukaryota; Viridiplantae; Streptophyta; Magnoliopsida; Poales; Poaceae.